This 301-nucleotide ribosomal RNA is filed under the name uncultured bacterium. Its description in RNAcentral is "partial 16S ribosomal RNA". It matches the Rfam family "Bacterial small subunit ribosomal RNA", at positions 509 to 808 of the family's 1533-position model. The record is from RNAcentral.
CAGCCGCCGCGGUAAUACGGGGGGGGCAAGUGUUAUUCGGAAUGACUGGGCGUAAAGGGCACGUAGGCGGUGAAAAGGGUGGAAAGUGAAAGUCGCCAAAACACUGGCGGGGUGCUUUCUUGACCAUUUCACUUGAGUGAGAUAGGGGAGAGUGGAAUUUCGUGUGGAGGGAUCAAAUCCUAAGAUAUACGAAGGAACGCCAACCGCGAAGGCAGCUCUCUGGGUCCCCACUGACGCUGGGGUGCGAAAGCAUGGGGAGCAAACAGGAUCAGAUACCCCUGUAGUCCCUGUCUCUUAUACA